RNAcentral lists this ribosomal RNA (422 nucleotides) under uncultured eukaryote. RNAcentral describes it as "SSU rRNA". It matches the Rfam family "Eukaryotic small subunit ribosomal RNA", at positions 592 to 1018 of the family's 1831-position model. The record is from RNAcentral.
CAAUAGCGUAUAUUAAAGUUGUUGCGGUUAAAAGCUCGUAGUUGGAUUUCUGCCGAGGACGACCGGUCCGCCCUCUGGGUGCGUAUCUGGCUCGGCCUGGGCAUCUUCUUGGAGAACGUAUCUGCACUUGACUGUGUGGUGCGGUAUCCAGGACUUUUACUUUGAGGAAAUUAGAGUGUUUCAAGCAGGCACACGCCUUGAAUACAUUAGCAUGGAAUAAUAAGAUAGGACCUCGGUUCUAUUUUGUUGGUUUCUAGAGCUGAGGUAAUGAUUAAUAGGGAUAGUUGGGGGCAUUCGUAUUUAACUGUCAGAGGUGAAAUUCUUGGACCUUCGGAAGACUAACAGCUGCGAAAGCGUUUGCCUAGGAUGUUCUCUUUAAUCAAGAACGAAGGUUGGGGGAGUCGAAGAUGAUCAGAUACCGU